AGAGUUUGAUCAUGGCUCAGGAUGAACGCUAGCGGCAGGCUUAAUACAUGCAAGUCGAACGGUAAAUAGAUCAGCAAUGGUCUAUGAGAGUGACGCACGGGUGCGUAAUACGUAUGCAGCCUACCCUUUACAGGAGUAUAGCUCGGGGAAACUCGAAUUAACACUUCAUAGUAUAAUUGAAUGGCAUCAUUUGAUUAUUAAAUCUGCGGAGGUAAAGGAUGGGCAUGCGUCUGAUUAGCUAGUUGGUAGUGUAAUGGACUACCAAGGCGAUGAUCAGUAGGGGAACUGAGAGGUUGAUCCCCCACACUGGCACUGAGAUACGGGCCAGACUCCUACGGGAGGCAGCAGUAGGGAAUAUUGGUCAAUGGGUGAGAGCCUGAACCAGCCAUGCCGCGUGCAGGAAGACGGCCUUCUGGGUUGUAAACUGCUUUUGUCAGGGGAUAAAAUUUCCUUGCGAGGAAAAUUGAAGGUACCUGGCGAAUAAGCCACGGCUAACUACGUGCCAGCAGCCGCGGUAAUACGUAGGUGGCAAGCGUUGUCCGGAUUUAUUGGGUUUAAAGGGUGCGUAGGCGGCCUAUUAAGUCAGUGCUGAAAUAUUCCGGCUUAACCGGGAGGGUGGCAUUGAUACUGAUGGGCUAGAGUACAGAUGAGGUAGGCGGAAUUGACGGUAGCGGUGAAAUGCUUAGAUAUCGUCAAGAACACCUAUAGCGAAGGCAGCUUACUAGGCUGUAACUGACGCUGAGGCACGAAAGUGUGGGGAUCAAACAGGAUUAGAUACCCCAGUAGUCC
This 789-nucleotide ribosomal RNA is filed under the name uncultured bacterium. RNAcentral describes it as "bacterial SSU rRNA". It matches the Rfam family "Bacterial small subunit ribosomal RNA", at positions 8 to 796 of the family's 1533-position model. The record is from RNAcentral.